Molecule: transfer RNA, 38 nt
Filed under: Prasinoderma coloniale
Lineage: Eukaryota; Viridiplantae; Prasinodermophyta; Prasinodermophyceae; Prasinodermales; Prasinodermaceae
Description: partial Selenocysteine transfer RNA
Source: RNAcentral
CCCACCGUGCAUUGCUCACUCAUCGCGACAACCUUGAG